GACAGAGGGUGCAAACGUUGUUCGGAAUUACUGGGCGUAAAGCGCGUGUAGGCGGCAUGACAAGUCGGGUGUGAAAGCCCUGGGCUCAACCCAGGAAGUGCACUCGAUACUGUCGUGCUAGAGUCCCGGAGAGGGUGGUGGAACUCUCGGUGUAGAGGUGAAAUUCGUAGAUAUCGAGAAGAACACCGGUGGCGAAGGCGGCCACCUGGACGGUGACUGACGCUGAGACGCGAAAGCGUGGGGAGCAAACAGG
Molecule: ribosomal RNA, 253 nt
Filed under: uncultured bacterium
Lineage: Bacteria
Description: partial 16S ribosomal RNA
Rfam family: Bacterial small subunit ribosomal RNA
Source: RNAcentral